Molecule: long non-coding RNA, 792 nt
Organism: Trichomycterus rosablanca
Lineage: Eukaryota; Metazoa; Chordata; Actinopteri; Siluriformes; Trichomycteridae
Exons: 3
Source: RefSeq, a predicted model, not a curated record
AAUCUAACUGCCACAGUGGGUUCCACAGCUCUCCUCCCCUGUAAAUGUACCACUGAACCUGGUAAAACACCACGUGUUCUGUGGAUAAUUGAUACUGAGACAGUGUUUGAGCGAGAGGGUAAACAGUGGAUUGAUGGUGAGGAAUAUGAGGGUCGUGUGGACGUUCCUGAGGACGAGCUGAAUAAAGGAGACUGUUCUCUGGUGUUGAAGAAUGUCAGUGUUACUGAUGAUGAAGAUGAAUAUAGAUGUUACCAGGUGGUGACGCUCACAGGGAGCUUUGGUUCUAAACAUCAUUUGAUCCAGAAGGUUCAUCUCUCAGUUGUUGAUACAUCUACAAACAAGGCUAAACUUCAUGAUCCUGAGCAUCCUGAUACCAAUUAUUCUCCAGGUCUCGCUUUACACUGGAGUAUAAUUAUACCAGUAUUUGUUUGGUUGCUGCAGCAGUGGUGAUGAUCAUCAUCUACUGUAAGAUACGAGUUCUGAUGGAAACCUGGUUACCCUGUCGAGGUUAAAGACUGCAAGUCGAGACUGCAGUGCCAACAAUACUGCUCCUACUAGACUGGACUGAACAAUGAAGAACUUGUGCAAAUCCUAUUUAAAGUAUUCUCAAGGCCACCCAAAGAGGAUGGAGGUCCCUGUUAAGUCUGGUUCCUCUCAAGGUUUCUUCCUGUAAUUUUAAGGGGGGUAUUCCUGUCACUGUAACCCUCGGCUUGCUCAACAGGGGUUUUUGGUCUGUUGGUCCUGGAUUCUGUAAGUCUAUUGUAAAAAGCGCUAUAUAAAUAAAGUUGACUU